AGAAUGACAGAGAAUAUGAAGAUGGCGU
RNAcentral lists this small RNA (28 nucleotides) under Bombyx mori (domestic silkworm). RNAcentral's name for it is "ovarian small RNA-11796". Lineage: Eukaryota; Metazoa; Arthropoda; Insecta; Lepidoptera; Bombycidae. The record is from RNAcentral.